UACGGGGGGAGCAAGCGUUGUUCGGAUUUACUGGGCGUAAAGGGCGCGUAGGCGGUCGUGACAAGUCACUUGUGAAAUCUCCGGGCUUAACUCGGAACGGUCAAGUGAUACUGUCGGACUAGAGUACAGAAGGGGCAACUGGAAUUCUCGGUGUAGCGGUGAAAUGCGUAGACAUCGAGAGGAACACCUGCGGCGAAGGCGGGUUGCUGGGCUGAUACUGACGCUGAGGAGCGAAAGCGUGGGGAGCGAACAGG
RNAcentral lists this ribosomal RNA (254 nucleotides) under uncultured bacterium. Its description in RNAcentral is "partial 16S ribosomal RNA". It matches the Rfam family "Bacterial small subunit ribosomal RNA", at positions 524 to 776 of the family's 1533-position model. The record is from RNAcentral.